GCAAAACUGCACUAUCCUUUCUAUACAAAGAGGCCAACUCUGCAAACACUCUAACUUGUCUCCGUAAACUGGGUCUUCAAGAACAUGGUCUGCUAACUUUGCCCGGUCCUCGAAGUCGCCCGCACGGAGGUUCUCGGAAACACAUUUGAGCUUGGUGCAGCGGAGAAGCACCACCAAAAGCACAGCCACAGGUGCCUUGUUACUUCGUUUUUGGAGCUUCGUAUUACGACGAUGGCAACAAUAACCGUCUUUUGACCCUCGCUAAAUCCAAUUAUCCUCCUUAUGGAAUUGAUUUUCUUCAAGGCCCCACUGGAAGAUUUACAAAUGGUCGCACCACUGCUGAUUUUUUAGCUGAAUUUCUUGGAUUCAGCCACUUCAUUCCAUCCUUUGCAAGCCAAAGUAAUCGGAAAUGCAAUAAGGACAUUCUCCAAGGCAUAAAUUAUGCCUCUGGCUCAUCUGGGAUUCUUAAGGAAACUGGGAGGCACGUGGUAUUUAUAACACAUUAAUUAAUUUAAUUCUCAUCUUUUUGUUAGCAAAGUGUUAGCGUUAUGCUCUUGAUACAUCUACGUCAACGAAUUUUAUCAUUUAAUAUGUAUUAAUAAUUUGAAUUUUUUUACUUAGACUUGGACCGGAGACACAAACAAUUUCUCUUGAAAAUUAAAUUCAUAUAAAUUGUCAGUUGAAAUCUAUUUACUAUAGCUCUUUUUCCUAAUUUGAUAUUGUAUAUAAAAAAAUAAAAAGAUCAACUAAAUUGUGAUCAGGGUGCUCGAAUCGGAAUGGACGGGCAGCUCCAAAAUCACAAAACUAUAAUCUCGCGCAUCUCCACGCUGUUAGGAAACACGACCGAUUCAUACCUUAACAGUUGCUUAUAUACAGUUGCAAUGGGCGACAACGACUAUAUCGGCAACUAUUUUCUGCCACUAUUUUAUAAUACAAGCCGCCAUUAUUCUCCUCAGCAGUAUGCUUUUCGUCUUCUUGAACAAUACUCUAAACAAUUAACGGUUAGUACUGAUGAUCGCGUUAUAUGGUAUAGAAUUAAUUAGUUGCUUAAAAUAGUUAAAAAAUUUUCAGAGUCUCCACGAGCUUGGAGCCAGGAAGAUAGCAUUGUUUGGAAUACCUCCGCUUGACUGUUCUCCUGAUGCCAACUCCAAACAUUUUGCUGCCAAAAACUAUUCUGAAUGUGUAGGUGAAAAGACCCAUGCAAUUGGCCUUUUCAACGCCGGGCUUAAAGGACUCGUUGAUCAACUUAAUAAAGAUCUAAGAGAUGCCAGAUUUAUGUUAGUGGACGCCUAUGGGAUAUCUAGAUCUUCAGUAUCCAAAUUUAAGGUGACAGAUGCGGCUUGUUGCAAAACAGAGCCAAGAGUGGGUCUUUCCAUAUGUAUUCCUCGUGUUGAUCCUUGUGCCGAGAGAAACGACUACAUGUGGUGGGAUGCGGUUCAUCAGACGGAGGCUGCCUAUAGGAUCAAUGCCCAAAGAGCUUUCAAGGCUCAAUCUCCUACCGAUACCUACCCAGUUGACAUUACUCAAUUACUUCAAUUAUAGGUCUAGCUCCCUUUAUCAUUAUUAUUAUUUUCCCUAAAGAUAGAAUUCAUUAAAAGCCUCUAAUUAAGCAUGAAAAAAAAUUACAAAGUUGAUUUAUAUCUAAGGAUUACAAAUAAGCAACGCUUUUGCCUGCCAGGCUAUGAGGUAGCUAGAUGUAUUAUCAGAUUUCCAGAUUAAUCAUUGUUGUUGCUUUUCUUAGCCAUUUUCCAAUUGAAGCAGAAGCAUGCCACAACAUCUUUUUUAACUCUAGCUCUAUGUAGCGAUUUCUGGUUCCUUUUGUUAGGAAAUUUCCUUGUUGCUUCGUUCUCAUCUAUAUCUAUAUUGAAUAUUGAUACGUAGCUAAUAUAUUUCUAUGUUGAAGUUGGAUUGCGAAAUGGAUCCAAUGCAGCAAUUGUAACGCUUGUUCCUCUUUGCAUUCCUUGAUGGAAAACAGUGAUUUAUAUAUUUUUGAAUUAUUUUGGCAUAUUAAAUGUAUGCAAUAA
This 2024-nucleotide unclassified non-coding RNA is filed under the name Hevea brasiliensis (rubber tree). Lineage: Eukaryota; Viridiplantae; Streptophyta; Magnoliopsida; Malpighiales; Euphorbiaceae. The record is from RNAcentral.